CGCCCCCUUUCUCCUUUUUCCAUUUUUUUUUUAAUUUCUUUUCUCAAAUUCUCUCAUAAAUUCAUUUGGACCAAUUUAAAAUCAUUUUCACCUCUUGCUCCCAAAAGCAAAGUUGUUCCAAAGCAAAAACCCUACCACUUUGCUUUAACAAGCAAGACCAAAUUCCAAGCAGAAUUUGAAUUACAAGUUAAAGUCAGUUCUAGGUUUCA
Molecule: long non-coding RNA, 209 nt
Filed under: Sorghum bicolor (sorghum)
Lineage: Eukaryota; Viridiplantae; Streptophyta; Magnoliopsida; Poales; Poaceae
Description: long non-coding RNA (SBIC_LNC006126)
Source: RNAcentral